AGUGAACGCUGGCGGUAGGCCUAACACAUGCAAGUCGAACGGCAGCACAGUAAGAGCUUGCUCUUACGGGUGGCGAGUGGCGGACGGGUGAGGAAUACAUCGGAAUCUACUUUUUCGUGGGGGAUAACGUAGGGAAACUUACGCUAAUACCGCAUACGACCUACGGGUGAAAGCAGGGGAUCUUCGGACCUUGCGCGAUUGAAUGAGCCGAUGUCGGAUUAGCUAGUUGGCUGGGUAAAGGCCCACCAAGGCGACGAUCCGUAGCUGGUCUGAGAGGAUGAUCAGCCACACUGGAACUGAGACACGGUCCAGACUCCUACGGGAGGCAGCAGUGGGGAAUAUCGGACAAUGGGCGCAAGCCUGAUCCAGCCAUACCGCGUGGGUGAAGAAGGCCUUCGGGUUGUAAAGCCCUUUUGUUGGGAAAGAAAAGCAGCAGGUUAAUACCCCGCUGUUCUGACGGUACCCAAAGAAUAAGCACCGGCUAACUUCGUG
This 492-nucleotide ribosomal RNA is filed under the name uncultured bacterium. RNAcentral's name for it is "partial 16S ribosomal RNA". It matches the Rfam family "Bacterial small subunit ribosomal RNA", at positions 29 to 507 of the family's 1533-position model. The record is from RNAcentral.